RNAcentral lists this ribosomal RNA (198 nucleotides) under uncultured bacterium. RNAcentral describes it as "partial 16S ribosomal RNA". It matches the Rfam family "Bacterial small subunit ribosomal RNA", at positions 326 to 539 of the family's 1533-position model. The record is from RNAcentral.
ACGCUCGACACCUACGGAAGGCAGCAGUGGGGAAUAUUGCACAAUGGGGGAAACCCUGAUGCAGCGACGCCGCGUGAGUGAAGAAGUAAUUCGUUAUGUAAAGCUCUAUCAGCAGGGAAGAAAGUGACGGUACCUGAGUAAGAAGCCCCGGCUAACUACGUACCAGCAGCCGCGGUAAUCUGAGCGGGCUGGCAAGGC